RNAcentral lists this ribosomal RNA (255 nucleotides) under uncultured bacterium. RNAcentral describes it as "partial 16S ribosomal RNA". It matches the Rfam family "Bacterial small subunit ribosomal RNA", at positions 524 to 776 of the family's 1533-position model. The record is from RNAcentral.
UACGGGGGGAGCAAGCGUUGUUCGGAUUUACUGGGCGUAAAGGGCGCGUAGGCGGCCACCGCAAGUCGACUGUGAAAUCUCCGGGCUUAACCCGGAAAGGUCAGCCGAUACUGCGGGGCUAGAGUGCAGAAGGGGCAACUGGAAUUCUCGGUGUAGCGGUGAAAUGCGUAGAUAUCGAGAGGAACACCUGAGGCGAAGGCGGGUUGCUAGGCUGACACUGACGCUGAGUGCGCGAAAGCCAGGGGAGCAAACGGG